GGGGGAGGACCUGAGUCAUUGUGCAGCUGAGGAGCACUGAUACAGAUAGUCGGACUGAUAACAGCAGGUAAAAGGCGUGUUUCUGUGACUGUUUUGUGUAAUCUCAGUUUGUUGGUAAAUGAAUGAUGAUGAUGAUGAUAUGGACAAACGUGUUCAAUAACCACCUGCAUCAGGGAGAUUUGGGAUGGGAAAUGUUUUCUGUUGCUGGAAUUAGACAUCCAUAUGGUGAAUGCCAUUUGAACACUUGCAAGAGAAAUUCAGAGUUUAAAUCACUUUCACCAUAGUUUUGGCAGGACUGGGAACACAUUUUUUUUUCAGCUGUUCUUCCUGAUGGGAGCUAUAAAUAGCUUUGGGGAAGUAUAUAAUUAUCUCACAGUAGAAGCUCAAGAUAAAAAGCCACAUGAGAUUUUAAAGGAACAUUUAAUAGUUGCUAUUAUGUAACAUUUAUGAAAUAUGCUCACUGUGCUCAUUGUCUUUGCCAGGAAGAAACUUGGAAUAAAAAGUCAAUCCAAGAUGUGACAUGUAUAAAUAGACCUAAAAGGAAGAAGUUCAAGCUCCUGAGCAGAGCAUAUGAUCUGACUCCUAUCUACCUCUCUGGACCCAUGUCCUUUUACCACUUAACUUGCAUUUCAUACUCCAGUACUGCCAUGCUGUUGUAUGAACACAUACAUUUCUCAAGUUCUUUCUUCUCUGCUUGUGUGUUUGCCACGUAUAUUCACAUGGUGAAUUCUGAUUCAUUCAUUGAAAUGAAAAUGAGAUAUCAAUGCCUCCCAGAAACUUUCCCUUUCAAUGCCAUUCUGAGUUAGAUGCCCCUCAUCAGGGUUCAUCUCUCUCAUUAUACUCCCUUGUAAUCGUUUGUUUGCUUUUCCC
This 870-nucleotide long non-coding RNA is filed under the name Equus caballus (horse). Its description in RNAcentral is "lncRNA (ENSECAG00000035738.3)". The record is from RNAcentral. Lineage: Eukaryota; Metazoa; Chordata; Mammalia; Perissodactyla; Equidae.